GGGGGCGACUGGUUUUGACAGGGUAUAACAGUCGUUAAUGUUCAGCGCAGAGAGAUAACUGCACAAACUAAGGUGAAAUUCUUUAAACGGAAACAACACGAAUGCGGUAAACGCACAGAUCGAAGCUAAUAUGGAAGCGGUAAACGCUAUCCUUAACCUUGAAGUAGCAGUAGGGGUAUAAGCUGACCGUUUUAUCUGUUUUCUCAAAACAGUUUGGUGGAGCUUCAAUCAUAACUAUGGUUGGCCCCUCUAGCAUAAAGAGUCUAAAGAAAUGCCGUGUGUAACGAUACUACGCAAAAGCUGUAUAAAACAUUAACGAUUAAGUGCUCUGGACGAGGGUUCGAUUCCCUCCGCCUCCACUA
The sequence is a non-coding RNA, 362 nucleotides long. It matches the Rfam family "transfer-messenger RNA". Rfam says of the family: Bacterial tmRNA, also known as 10Sa RNA or SsrA, is named for its dual tRNA and mRNA-like properties. Its role is to liberate the mRNA from a stalled ribosome. To accomplish this part of the tmRNA is used as a reading frame that ends in a translation stop signal. The record is from Rfam.